Molecule: long non-coding RNA, 1055 nt
Filed under: Mus musculus (house mouse)
Lineage: Eukaryota; Metazoa; Chordata; Mammalia; Rodentia; Muridae
Description: predicted gene, 50332
Source: RNAcentral
GCUGAGUGGUUUUCUGUGCUUUGAACUCACAGCAUUGUAAGCAUCAUCACCAGGGGCAGAAUUUUAUGGAACCUCUUCAACUUGGAUUUGAACAUCCUGAAGCUAAAGCUACAAUAAGACUCUUUCACAUUUUGUGAGAGUUGGUUCCCUCCUUCUACUUUUUACAUAAAACUCAGGUUAAUUUAACCUAAAUUUUAAGUCUACAACUCUGAAAUCUGAAGAACUAAGGCUAUUUUAUAAGAAAAAUGAAGAUUGCAAGGAAAAAGCUCCACCACCAUCACACCAUUCCCCAAUGAGGAAAGAGAGUCUAAAUUGGAAGUCUCUACCAGGUUCCUCCCCUAGCAACUUGGAGGAAACCACAGAAGAGGGAAGGAAAUACCGUAGGAGUCAGAGGGGAUGAAGGAAUGGCGGACACCAGGAGAACACAGCCCAUUGAAUCAGAAAGUUCUUAGAGGAAGUAAAAUGUUACCUGUAAAAACUUGAUGACCUGAGUUUGACCCUGGAAGCCAUGUAAAGGAGAACAGAAUCAAGUUCACAACAUUAUCCUCUGACAUCUGCAUGUGUGCCUUAGCAGGCAACAAUAUAAGGAAUGAAUAUGGAUGUGUUGAUUCAAAAAUGAGGAGAAUUUUGUUGUUCUGGAGCAUCAAUCCCCAGGAGGAGCCAACAGCUGGCUCUUUACUGUAAUGGCCUUGGAUGUUUCCCCAUUGCUCAGACCUCACGUCUGUGCAAAGCCUCACAACACUGUGGUAAAUACAGGCUAAGCAGACUAAAAGAGAAGUAUAGAAUUAACUCUCACAAAGAGUAACUCCCUCUUGGGGAAUUUUAUGGAACAGUUUUAAAGGAACGACUGGAGGAUGAGGCACUGUGGGAAGCUCUGAAGCCCAAGAGAGCCAGGUCUGAGGCUCGGCUCAACUGUCUCACAGUGACUUAAUCUUCAACAAGUCACUUUGAACUUCACUACCUCUGGAUGCCAAAUGAACUUGGCAAUCACACCUAGCCUUGAAGAGGCAGGAAAAUGAAUUGAGAUAUCAAAAAAGAAAAAGAAAAGAAAAAAA